GUUUAACGGCCGCGGUAUUUUGACCGUGCAAAGGUAGCGCAAUCACUUGUCUUUUAAAUAAAGACCUGUAUGAAUGGCAUAACGAGGGCUAAACUGUCUCCUUACUCCAGUUAAUGAAAUUGAUCUCCCCGUGCAGAAGCGGGGAUUAACCCAUAAGACGAGAAGACCCUGUGGAGCUUUAGAUGAUAGAUGAAUUUAUUAAAAAAUUAAUACCACAUAAAAGGUAAUUAAAACGAUGACCUCAUCUUAAAUCUUUAGUUGGGGCGACCGCGGAGUAAAACAAAACCUCCGUGAGGAUUGAGAUGAAAACCUUAUACCCAAGAAUGUCAUUUCUAAGUACCAAAAUAUUUGACCAGUUGAUCCGGCAACAGCCGAUUAACGAACCUAGUUACCCCAGGGAUAACAGCGCAAUCCUCUUUGAGAGUCCCUAUCGACAAGAGGGUUUACGACCUCGAUGUUGGAUCAGGACAUCCUAAUGGUGUAG
Molecule: ribosomal RNA, 484 nt
Filed under: Hippocampus guttulatus (long-snouted seahorse)
Lineage: Eukaryota; Metazoa; Chordata; Actinopteri; Syngnathiformes; Syngnathidae
Description: partial 16S ribosomal RNA
Rfam family: Bacterial large subunit ribosomal RNA
Source: RNAcentral